RNAcentral lists this ribosomal RNA (561 nucleotides) under uncultured fungus. RNAcentral describes it as "eukaryotic LSU rRNA". The stretch from base 199 to 352 matches the Rfam family "5.8S ribosomal RNA". The record is from RNAcentral. Lineage: Eukaryota; Fungi.
GUCUCCGUAGGUGAACCUGCGGAGGGAUCAUUACACAAAUAUGAAGGCGGGCUGGAACCUCUCGGGGUUACAGCCUUGCUGAAUUAUUCACCCUUGUCUUUUGCGUACUUCUUGUUUCCUUGGUGGGUUCGCCCACCACUAGGACAAACAUAAACCUUUUGUAAUUGCAAUCAGCGUCAGUAACAAAUUAAUAAUUACAACUUUCAACAACGGAUCUCUUGGUUCUGGCAUCGAUGAAGAACGCAGCGAAAUGCGAUAAGUAGUGUGAAUUGCAGAAUUCAGUGAAUCAUCGAAUCUUUGAACGCACAUUGCGCCCUUUGGUAUUCCAAAGGGCAUGCCUGUUCGAGCGUCAUUUGUACCCUCAAGCUUUGCUUGGUGUUGGGCGUCUUGUCUCUAGCUUUGCUGGAGACUCGCCUUAAAGUAAUUGGCAGCCGGCCUACUGGUUUCGGAGCGCAGCACAAGUCGCACUCUCUAUCAGCAAAGGUCUAGCAUCCAUUAAGCCUUUUUUUCAACUUUUGAUCUCGGAUCAGGUAGGGAUACCCGCUGAACUUAAGCAUAUCA